GAGUUUGAUCCUGGCUCAGGACGAACGGUGGCGGCGCGCUUAACACAUGCAAGUCGAGCGAGAACCGGACCUUCGGGUCCGGGGACAGCGGCGAACGGGUGAGUAACACGUGGGUAAUUUGCCCUCGAUUCUGGGAUAGCCCGGGGAAACCCGGAUUAAUACCGGAUAGCCUUUCGAGCUCUCGGGCUUGAAAGGAAAGGUAGCUUCGGCCUCCGAUCGAGGAGAAGCCCGCGGCGGAUUAGCUUGUUGGCGGGGUAAUGGCCCACCAAGGCGACGAUCCGUAGCUGGUCUGAGAGGACGAUCAGCCACACUGGGACUGAGACACGGCCCAGACUCCUACGGGAGGCAGCAGUGGGGAAUCUUGCGCAAUGGGCGAGAGCCUGACGCAGCGACGCCGCGUGAGGGAAGAAGGCCUUCGGGUUGUAAACCUCUUUCAGCAGGGACGAAGCCACUCAGGUUAAUAGCCGAGAGGGUGACGGUACCUGCAGAAGAAGCCCCGGCUAACUACGUGCCAGCAGCCGCGGUAAUACGUAGGGGGCAAGCGUUGUCCGGAUUUAUCGGGCGUAAAGAGCGUGUAGGCGGUUAGAUAGGUCUGCUGUGAAAACUCCAGGCUCAACCUGGAGACGUCGGUGGAAACCAUCUGGCUAGAGUCCGGAAGAGGAGAGUGGAAUUCCUGGUGUAGCGGUGAA
This 689-nucleotide ribosomal RNA is filed under the name uncultured bacterium. RNAcentral describes it as "bacterial SSU rRNA". It matches the Rfam family "Bacterial small subunit ribosomal RNA", at positions 9 to 685 of the family's 1533-position model. The record is from RNAcentral.